RNAcentral lists this ribosomal RNA (465 nucleotides) under Vreelandella stevensii. RNAcentral describes it as "partial 16S ribosomal RNA". It matches the Rfam family "Bacterial small subunit ribosomal RNA", at positions 338 to 795 of the family's 1533-position model. Lineage: Bacteria; Pseudomonadati; Pseudomonadota; Gammaproteobacteria; Oceanospirillales; Halomonadaceae. The record is from RNAcentral.
CCUACGGGGGGCUGCAGUGGGGAAUAUUGGACAAUGGGGGCAACCCUGAUCCAGCCAUGCCGCGUGUGUGAAGAAGGCCCUCGGGUUGUAAAGCACUUUCAGUGAGGAAGAACGCCUGGUGGUUAAUACCCAUCAGGAAAGACAUCACUCACAGAAGAAGCACCGGCUAACUCCGUGCCAGCAGCCGCGGUAAUACGGAGGGUGCGAGCGUUAAUCGGAAUUACUGGGCGUAAAGCGCGCGUAGGUGGCUUGAUAAGCCGGUUGUGAAAGCCCCGGGCUCAACCUGGGAACGGCAUCCGGAACUGUCCAGCUAGAGUGCAGGAGAGGAAGGUAGAAUUCCCGGUGUAGCGGUGAAAUGCGUAGAGAUCGGGAGGAAUACCAGUGGCGAAGGCGGCCUUCUGGACUGACACUGACACUGAGGUGCGAAAGCGUGGGUAGCAAACAGGAUUAGAUACUCCGGUAGUC